UUGUGAUUCGGAAUUAUUGGAGUGUUUGCAGGCUUCCAGUUUAGCAAUCUAACCUCUGCCAAUAGGUCUAAAAUAUAUUUUCUCUGGGAUAGGAAUAUACCCUGUUUUGAUCUGCAACUUCAAUUCCCAGAAAAUAUUUGAGUCCUCCUAGACUUUUCAUUUCAAACUCAGAUGCCAACUACUUUUGAAGCCUUUCUAUCUCAUCUGAAUCGUCUCCUGUGAUGAUCAUAUCAUCUACAUAGACUAUUAGGGCAAUCAAUUUGCCGUGUCUAUGUUUAAGGAACAAAGUAUGAUAAGAGUUACUUUGUUAGAACCCAUACUUCCUCAUUGCUGUACUGAACCUCCCAAACCAAGCUCGAGGCGAUUGUUUCAAGCUGUAUAGAGUUCUUUGCAACUUACAAAUAAUAUUGCCUUCUAUGUUGGCUCCAUACCCUGGGGGAAUGUUCAUAUAUAUCUCUUCUUCUAAAUCACCAUGCAAAAAUGUAUUCUUCACAUCGAACUGAUGAAAGGGCCAGUCAUGAUUUGUUGCAAGUGACAACAGUACUCUCACUAUAUUUAGCUUGGUUACUGGUGAGAAAGUCUCCUGAUAGUCAAUUCCAUAUGUCUGUGUGAAUCCCUUUGCCACAAGUCUAGCUUUGUAAUGGUCAACUGUUCCAUCUGCCUUGUAUUUGAUUGAAAACACCCACUUGCACCCCACAGUUUUAUGUCCUUUAGGUAGCGUGUCAGGACCUAAGUCUCAUUUUUUACCAGUGCCUCCAUCUCUUCCUUCAUAACUUGGACCCACCUUGGGUCUUUCAUUGCUUCUUCAACACUUGUAAGAACUGGAUGCGAGGAAACUUCAUCCGCAAAAGACUUAAGGGUUUUGGGAAGUCCCUUUGUGGAUACAUAGUUGGCAAUUGGGUAUUUAACCCUUUGGUCUUCCAUGUCGGGAGUAUAUCUGUUCGGUGGCUUUCCUCGAUUGUGCCUGUAUGGUAACUUAUAACCAACUAAAGUAUCAUUAGCUAACAGAGGUGUACUUGGAGAGUUUGGGGAGCUUACCAUAAGAGUAUUCUCAGGAGAUGGGUCUGUGGAUACUAUGGAGUGAGGAGGGGGUACUACUGCUUCAGAGUUUUGCUUCUACUUACUAUUUUCUGAUUGUGGAAUACUAGAUUCUGUAUCAUCGGUAGGUUCUAAAUAAUGAGCUCAUUGACAGUAGUUUCUGUAUUAAUUGCAACGGGUUCAUUAAAUCCAAGCCAUUCAUACUGCAGCCAAUUUGACUCUUCACCUCGAGACUCCCCCUGAAGAGUAUAAGUAGAUAGGGAAGAGUAAAAAUAUUCUGAUUCCAAGAAAGUGACAUCCAUUGUCACAUAGGUACGAUGGUUAGUUGGAUCAUAACAUCGAUAUCCUUUUUGAUUCAAGCCAUAUCCCAAAAACACACAUUAAACUGCACAAGGAUCAAGUUUGGUGCACUAAUUUCUGUGCAAAUGAACAAUGGUUACACAACCAAACACUUGAGGCGGAAGCAUCAGGGUUGUAGGUAGAGAAAUGACAACAGAUAGAGCCUCGAGAGGAGUUCGAAACUUAAGAGCCUUAGAAGGCAUCCGAUUAAUAAGAUAUACCGCUGUAGUGACAGCAUCAGUCCAAAAGUG
This 1628-nucleotide long non-coding RNA is filed under the name Olea europaea subsp. europaea. The record is from RNAcentral. Lineage: Eukaryota; Viridiplantae; Streptophyta; Magnoliopsida; Lamiales; Oleaceae.